AUCCAGCUAACGCGUCCCAAACAGGACGAAACACGUGUUGAACUGGAU
This 48-nucleotide non-coding RNA is filed under the name Schistosoma mansoni. Lineage: Eukaryota; Metazoa; Platyhelminthes; Trematoda; Strigeidida; Schistosomatidae. The record is from RNAcentral.